GUGGGGAAUAUUGGACAAUGGGCGAAAGCCUGAUCCAGCCAUGCCGCGUGUGUGAAGAAGGUCUUCGGAUUGUAAAGCACUUUAAGUUGGGAGGAAGGGUAGUAACCUAAUACGUUGCUACUUUGACGUUACCGACAGAAUAAGCACCGGCUAACUUCGUGCCAGCAGCCGCGGUAAUACGAAGGGUGCAAGCGUUAAUCGGAAUUACUGGGCGUAAAGCGCGCGUAGGUGGUUUUGUAAGUUGGAGGUGAAAUCCCCGGGCUCAACCUGGGAACUGCCUCAAAAACUGCAUGACUAGAGUACGGUAGAGGGUAGUGGAAUUUCCUGUGUAGCGGUGAAAUGCGUAGAUAUAGGAAGGAACACCAGUGGCGAAGGCGACUACCUGGACUGAUACUGACACUGAGGUGCGAAAGCGUGGGGAGCAAACAGGAUUAGAUACCCGGGUAGUCC
This 450-nucleotide ribosomal RNA is filed under the name uncultured bacterium. RNAcentral describes it as "bacterial SSU rRNA". It matches the Rfam family "Bacterial small subunit ribosomal RNA", at positions 354 to 796 of the family's 1533-position model. The record is from RNAcentral.